UACGAAGGGGGCUAGCGUUGCUCGGAAUCACUGGGCGUAAAGGGCGCGUAGGCGGAUGGCACAGUCAGAUGUGAAAUUCCUGGGCUUAACCUGGGGGCUGCAUUUGAUACGUGUGAUCUGGAGUGAGGAAGAGGGUUGUGGAAUUCCCAGUGUAGAGGUGAAAUUCGUAGAUAUUGGAAGAACACCGGUGGCGAAGGCGGCGACCUGGUCCUUAACUGACGCUGAGGUGCGAAAGCGUGGGGAGCAAACAGG
RNAcentral lists this ribosomal RNA (252 nucleotides) under uncultured bacterium. RNAcentral's name for it is "partial 16S ribosomal RNA". It matches the Rfam family "Bacterial small subunit ribosomal RNA", at positions 524 to 776 of the family's 1533-position model. The record is from RNAcentral.